This 468-nucleotide ribosomal RNA is filed under the name uncultured bacterium. RNAcentral describes it as "partial 16S ribosomal RNA". It matches the Rfam family "Bacterial small subunit ribosomal RNA", at positions 28 to 507 of the family's 1533-position model. The record is from RNAcentral.
GACGAACGCUGGCGGCGUGCUUAACACAUGCAAGUCGAACGGAAAGGCCCUGCUUUUGUGGGGUGCUCGAGUGGCGAACGGGUGAGUAACACGCGAGUAACCUGCCCUUGACUUUGGGAUAACUUCAGGAAACUGGGGUUAAUACCGGAUAGGAGCUCCUGCUGCAUGGUGGGGGAUGGAAAGUUUCGGCGGUUGGGGAUGGACGCGCGGCUUAUCAGCUUGUUGGUGGGGUAGUGGCUUACCAAGGCUCUGACGAGUAGCCGGCCUGAGAGGGUGACCGGCCACAUUGGGACUGGGAUACGGCCCAGACUCCUACGGGGGGCAGCAGUGGGGGAUAGUGCACGAUGGGCGGAAGCCUGAUGCAGCAACGCCGCGUGCGAGAUGACGGCCUUCAGGGUGGAAACCGCUUUCGCCUGUGACGAAGCGUAAGUGACGGUAAUGAGUAAAGAAGCACCGGCUAACUACGUG